This 1241-nucleotide ribosomal RNA is filed under the name metagenome. Its description in RNAcentral is "bacterial LSU rRNA". It matches the Rfam family "Bacterial large subunit ribosomal RNA", at positions 1707 to 2925 of the family's 2925-position model. The record is from RNAcentral.
UAGGAACUCGGCAAAAUGCCCCCGUAACUUCGGGAGAAGGGGGGCCGGAUACGUUACAUGGCUUGCCCAUGGAAGCGUUGAUGGCCGCAGAGACCAGGCCCAAGCGACUGUUUACUAAAAACACAGGUCCGUGCGAAGAAGUAAUUCGAUGUAUACGGACUGACGCCUGCCCGGUGCUGGAACGUUAAGGGGACAGGUUAGCUGGUUUAGGCCGGCGAAGCUUUGAACUUAAGCGCCAGUAAACGGCGGUGGUAACUAUAACCAUCCUAAGGUAGCGAAAUUCCUUGUCGGGUAAGUUCCGACCUGCACGAAUGGCGUAACGACUUGGGCGCUGUCUCAACCAUGGACUCGGCGAAAUUGCAUUACGAGUAAAGAUGCUCGUUACGCGCAGCAGGACGGAAAGACCCCGGGACCUUUACUACAACUUGGUAUUGGUGGUCGGUACAACUUGUGUAGGAUAGGUGGGAGACUGUGAAGCUCGGACGCCAGUUCGGGUGGAGUCAUCGUUGAAAUACCACUCUGGUUGUUCUGGCUGUCUAACUUAGGUCCAUUAUCUGGAUCAGGGACAGUGCCUGGUGGGUAGUUUGACUGGGGCGGUCGCCUCCUAAAAGGUAACGGAGGCGCUCAAAGGUUCCCUCAGCCUGGUUGGCAAUCAGGUGUCGAGUGUAAGUGCACAAGGGAGCUUGACUGUGAGGCAGACAUGUCGAGCAGGGACGAAAGUCGGAACUAGUGAUCCGGCGGUUGCAUGUGGGAGCACCGUCGCUCAACGGAUAAAAGGUACCCCGGGGAUAACGGGCUGAUCUUCCCCAAGAGUCCAUAUCGACGGGAUGGUUUGGCACCUCGAUGUCGGCUCGUCGCAUCCUGGGGCUGGAGUAGGUCCCAAGGGUUGGGCUGUUCGCCCAUUAAAGCGGCACGCGAGCUGGGUUUAGAACGUCGUGAGACAGUUCGGUCCCUAUCCGCUGCGCGCGCAGGAGACUUGAGAAGGGCUGCCCCUAGUACGAGAGGACCGGGGUGGACGAACCUCUGGUGUGCCAGUUGUUCCGCCAGGAGCACGGCUGGUUGGCUACGUUCGGGAGUGAUAACCGCUGAAAGCAUCUAAGCGGGAAGCACGCUUCAAGAUGAGGUCUCCCACCGAGUUAAUCGGGUAAGGCCCCCAGUAGACCACUGGGUUGAUAGGCCAGAAGUGGAAGCACCGUAAGGUGUGGAGCUGACUGGUACUAAUAGGCCGAGGGCUUGUCUAA